CCAACGGCCCUCUUUAGGGCCACAACCGAAAUAGCAGGAAGAUUUUU
This is a non-coding RNA of Angiostrongylus costaricensis, 47 nucleotides long. The record is from Rfam. Lineage: Eukaryota; Metazoa; Nematoda; Chromadorea; Rhabditida; Metastrongylidae.